RNAcentral lists this ribosomal RNA (831 nucleotides) under Entrophospora etunicata. RNAcentral's name for it is "eukaryotic LSU rRNA". It matches the Rfam family "Eukaryotic large subunit ribosomal RNA", at positions 1 to 649 of the family's 3401-position model. The record is from RNAcentral. Lineage: Eukaryota; Fungi; Glomeromycota; Glomeromycetes; Entrophosporales; Entrophosporaceae.
AAGUGUUUGGCCGAGAUCGUGAGUUUUUAUCAAAUGACCUCAAAUCAGGCAAGAAUACCCGCUGAACUUAAGCAUAUCAAUAAGCGGAGGAAAAGAAACUAACAAGGAUUCCCCUAGUAACGGCGAGUGAAGAGGGAAGAGCUCAAAUUUUAAAUCUGCCUUGUUCCAAGGUCGAGUUGUAAUUUGAAGAAGCGUUUUCUUGGGCUCGCGGCCGGUAGAAGUUCUUUGGAACAGGACAUCAUAGAGGGUGACAAUCCCGUCCGUGACCGGUCGUGCGUUCAUCUACGAUACGCUUUCAAAGAGUCGAGUUGUUUGGGAUUGCAGCUCCAAACGGGUGGUAAACAUCACCUAAGGCUAAAUAUUGGCGAGAGACCGAUAGCGAACAAGUACCGUGAGGGAAAGAUGAAAAGAACUUUGAAAAGAGAGUUAAACAGUACGUGAAAUUGUUGAAAGGGAAACGAUUGAAGUCAGUCGUGCUGGCGCGAAAUCAACCCUCUCGUCUUGAGAUCACAUGGCGCGACGAGCCUCAAAACCGUCACGAAGCGUGAACUCUUGACGAAAAGGUGCACUUUCGUGUCCGCUGGUUAACAUCAAUUUCGAACGUCAUAAAAAGGCUGGAGGGAUGUGGCUCCUUCGGGAGUGUUAUAACCUUUAGCGGAAUGUGGCGUUCGGGAUUGAGGAUUGCAACGAAUACCUUCAGGGCUGUUCCACCUGGCUUCUCAUUGGUAUCCUGGUGACGACAGCUUGCUGACGUCGUUUGGAUCAGCUUCUGAACAGGCUAGAGUGUGAGCAAAUUCGUUAAGGAUGUUAACGUAAUGGCUUUAAACGACC